Scaptodrosophila lebanonensis is the source of this 229-nucleotide long non-coding RNA. RefSeq lists it as uncharacterized. The record is from RefSeq and is a predicted model, not a curated record. The transcript has 2 exons. NCBI's taxonomy places the organism in Eukaryota, Metazoa, Arthropoda, Insecta, Diptera, Drosophilidae.
AUUGUGUGUUCAUUUUUAAUUGAUUUUCGUAGACGUAUUUUCUCACACCAUAUAAACCGACACUACGAGUACUAGAUGUACGAUAAACAAGGCUAAACACUGCGAUCCAACCAUCACUUCAUUUAACAUACUCGCAUUAUUUUAAUACCGGUCAUAAUGCCAGGCGGUCAGCUUGUAAUUUAUUCCAAGCAACACAAAACAAUUAUAAUAUAAUUAGAACAUUGCCACA